RNAcentral lists this ribosomal RNA (403 nucleotides) under uncultured bacterium. RNAcentral describes it as "bacterial SSU rRNA". It matches the Rfam family "Bacterial small subunit ribosomal RNA", at positions 355 to 775 of the family's 1533-position model. The record is from RNAcentral.
UAGGGAAUAUUGCAAAUGGGCGAAAGCCUGAUGUAGCAACGCCGCGUGUGCGAUGAAGGUCUUCGGAUUGUAAAGCACUUUUUGGAGGGAUGAGGAAGGACAGUACCUCCAGAAUAAGCCUCGGCUAACUACGUGCCAGCAGCCGCGGUAACACGUAGGAGGCAAGCGUUAUUCGGAUUUACUGGGCGUAAAGCGCGUGCAGGCGGUUUGGAAAGUUGGAUGUGAAAGCUCCUGGCUCAACUGGGAGAGGUCGUUCAAAACUUCCCGAGUUGAGAGUGGUAGAGGGCGGUGGAAGUCCGGGUGUAGUGGUGAAAUGCGUAGAUAUCCGGAGGAACAACAGUGGCGAAAGCGGCCUCCUGGAGCAAUUCUGACGCUCAGACGCGAAAGCUAGGGUAGCAAACGG